This 1310-nucleotide long non-coding RNA is filed under the name Glycine max (soybean). RNAcentral's name for it is "long non-coding RNA (GMAX_LNC001088)". Lineage: Eukaryota; Viridiplantae; Streptophyta; Magnoliopsida; Fabales; Fabaceae. The record is from RNAcentral.
UCUUAAUCUAUCUUAUUCUCAAAAUUUUCACUAUACUAGUAGCUCCCAAUAGAAUUUUGACCAAAACUUUAUAAUGAAGUAUGAAAUUCUUAAUAAUAUGAAAAUCUGUUUCAAAAGAAAAUUACAACAAUCAAUAAUGACUGAGCAAAACUUAACCAAAAAGAACUUUAUUUUUCAAACAACUAGUCUGCUACAUCCUGUUCCUGUGGCUGUGAGGGUAAUAGCAAAUUCAGCACCUACAUCAUACUGAAUUGCAGCCUAUCUCUACCUGUGAUGUGGGUUUUGCCAAUUCCCCGAUAGAUGUGGCUUAAUAAGUAAAGUUUAAAUAUCUUAUGGCUUGAAGGUGCAUAUAUCUAUGCAACAAAAAUUCCUUACUAGCUUUUAAACUAAUUAUCUCAAAAUUUCAGCAAAUCUAAAUGCAUGUAGCAGGUGCAUAUACAGGAAACCAAACAGACAUAUAUAUGAUAAGCUUGUGAAGAGAUGUGAUGGGCAAAAGAGGUUUAUUAAUUGAUAAGCUCGUGAAGAGUUUUUAAUGCACUUUUUACGUGCAUAUAGGUCAUGUUUGUUUCAAAUUUUCAGCAAGAUAACUGUUUUUCUUUUAAAAACUUUCACCAAGAUUAAAAUAUAACAAUUAUUUCUUCAAAACAAGUUAAUCUAACACGAAAGUCUUCCAAACACUAAACCUAAUAGACAACCAACAUAGUUACCCUAGCAACGGACCUGAGUCUAUACUAGGUGUUAGGUUCAAAUUUCAUUACCAACUAUAGUAAAAAAAAAAUAGAGCAAAAAGCAACAAAUUUUCAACAUCUCUAAGAUGAAUUAAUGAGGCUAUCCAAAUAUUUCUCAAAAAUCUCCCUUCCUCCAAAUAUUUGUUAAAAGUGGAAAGCUCUGAAAAUUGGAGGGGUAGAAAAGGAAAAAGACAAUAAACAACAGACAAACUUCCUUUUGGGUCCCACAACACAAACAAGAGAUCAGAUAGAUAAACACAAUGAUAGCCAAAAAGACGUAACUUAUCCACAAUACACACACCAUCAAAUCUGGACAAUAUCUAUCUUCAAUUUUCUUCAGAUUCUAACAAUGGUAGAUUAAAAAAAAACCUAAAUUUCUGCAACAAAUAAUUAAGCAAUAUCUCAAAGUUUUAAUUUUUGUGUUUCUUACCAGGGAGAUCCUUACGUGGCGUAGCGUAACAGAGAAUAGAACGCCCGAGAACGGAGAGAGAGGAAACGACGCCAGCGACGUAAAACACCAUAACCAAUCCGAGAACCCACGGCAUCAGCAUGAACCCGAUGAAGAAAGUCACCGAUCCACAC